This 399-nucleotide ribosomal RNA is filed under the name uncultured bacterium. RNAcentral describes it as "bacterial SSU rRNA". It matches the Rfam family "Bacterial small subunit ribosomal RNA", at positions 358 to 774 of the family's 1533-position model. The record is from RNAcentral.
GGAAUAUUGGGCAAUGGGCGCAAGCCUGACCCAGCAACGCCGCGUGAAGGAAGAAGGUUUUCGGAUCGUAAACUUCUGUCCUAUGUGAAGAUAGUGACGGUAGCAUAGGAGGAAGCCCCGGCUAACUACGUGCCAGCAGCCGCGGUAAUACGUAGGUGGCAAGCGUUGUCCGGAAUGAUUGGGCGUAAAGGGCGCGUAGGCGGCCCGGUAAGUCUGAAGUGAAAGUCCUGGUUUUAAGCUGGGAAUUGCUUUGGAUACUGUCGGGCUUGAGUGCAGGAGAGGUAAGUGGAAUUCCCAGUGUAGUGGUGAAAUGCGUAGAGAUUGGGAGGAACACCAGUGGCGAAGGCGACUUACUGGACUGUAACUGACGCUGAGGCGCGAAAGUGUGGGGAGCAAACA